GGGCCCGCACAAGCGGAGGAGCAUGUGGUUUAAUUCGAUGAUACGCGAGGAACCUUACCCGGGCUUGAACGUAAGACGAAUAUAUAAGAGAUUAUAUAGCCUUCGGGCGUCUUGCGAGGUGCUGCAUGGUUGUCGUCAGCUCGUGCCGUGAGGUGUUAGGUUAAGUCCUGCAACGAGCGCAACCCUUACACUUAGUUGCCAGCACAUAAUGGUGGGGACUCUAAGUGAACUGCCUACGCAAGUAGAGAGGAAGGUGGGGAUGACGUCAAAUCAGCACGGCCCUUAUGUCCGGGGCUACACACGUGCUACAAUGGUAUGUACAGAGGGCAGCCACCUGGCGACAGGGAGCUAAUCCUCAAAGCAUAUCUCAGUUCGGAUUGGAGUCUGUAACUCGACUCUAUGAAGUUGGAUUCGCUAGUAAUCGCGCAUCAGCCAUGGCGCGGUGAAUACGUUCCCGGGCCUU
This 463-nucleotide ribosomal RNA is filed under the name uncultured bacterium. RNAcentral describes it as "bacterial SSU rRNA". It matches the Rfam family "Bacterial small subunit ribosomal RNA", at positions 917 to 1382 of the family's 1533-position model. The record is from RNAcentral.